GCCUUUUGUAGAAUGAACCGGCGAGUUACGAUUUGAUGCAAGGUUAAGCAGUAAAUGUGGAGCCGUAGCGAAAGCGAGUCUGAAUAGGGCGUUUAGUAUUUGGUCGUAGACCCGAAACCAGGUGAUCUACCCUUGGUCAGGUUGAAGUUCAGGUAACACUGAAUGGAGGACCGAACCGACUUACGUUGAAAAGUGAGCGGAUGAACUGAGGGUAGCGGAGAAAUUCCAAUCGAACCUGGAGAUAGCUGGUUCUCUCCGAAAUAGCUUUAGGGCUAGCCUCAAGUGAUGAUUAUUGGAGGUAGAGCACUGUUUGGACGAGGGGCCCCUCUCGGGUUACCGAAUUCAGACAAACUCCGAAUGCCAAUUAAUUUAACUUGGGAGUCAGAACAUGGGUGAUAAGGUCCGUGUUCGAAAGGGAAACAGCCCAGACCACCAGCUAAGGUCCCAAAAUAUAUGUUAAGUGGAAAAGGAUGUGGCGUUGCCCAGACAACUAGGAUGUUGGCUUAGAAGCAGCCAUCAUUUAAAGAGUGCGUAAUAGCUCACUAGUCGAGUGACACUGCGCCGA
This 565-nucleotide ribosomal RNA is filed under the name Staphylococcus aureus. RNAcentral describes it as "partial 23S ribosomal RNA". It matches the Rfam family "Bacterial large subunit ribosomal RNA", at positions 603 to 1167 of the family's 2925-position model. The record is from RNAcentral. Lineage: Bacteria; Bacillati; Bacillota; Bacilli; Caryophanales; Staphylococcaceae.